Molecule: long non-coding RNA, 2253 nt
Filed under: Lathyrus oleraceus (garden pea)
Lineage: Eukaryota; Viridiplantae; Streptophyta; Magnoliopsida; Fabales; Fabaceae
Description: Pisum sativum (pea) long non-coding RNA (PSAT_LNC022082)
Source: RNAcentral
AGAGAGUAAAACACAGACCUUGUGGCCCAAGCCCACAAGUUAGGGCAAUCUCAAUUGACACGUUUUUCAUGUUUUUGUUCAAAAUUUGUCUUUUGCUCUCAAACAUGGCUUUUCCAUCGAAAGUGGCUCCGCCACGCCGGAGGCGACAUAAUUGGUACAAACCAAAAAAACUCACCACCAAAUUAAGCCUCUUAACGCCCUCUCUCUCAUUCUGACCUUUAAUCUUCCUAAAACUCUACCAGCUUCUCAAAUCGAGACAAAAACACUAAGAACCCUAAAUAUUGAAUUUGGAAUUAAACGCAGUUGAGGAGGAAUCAAAGCCUAAUUCCUUAGGGCUUUGAUUCCUCGUGCGUCAAGCUACAUAGUGGUAACUAGGUAGAAGCGAACAAAUGUGGAAUGACUUACCUAUGAAGAGGAUAAAUUCCUCGGUGAGUGUUAAAUUCGAAGGUGCAAACGAAGAAGAAGACGAAGGUAAUGCAUGUGUGCUUCAAUGUGCUUGAUUCUCUCUUCUCCUUCUUCAUUGAUUCUUUCUUCUUCUUCCCAAAUUAUUUAGUACGUAGGAUAUGAGUGUGUGUUGUUGUUGAUGUUUGCGUGUGAAUUGCAGAGAGAUUGAGGAUUGUGUACGAUUGCAGGGUGUGAGGCUUGAGGCUUUAGCUCAACCAAUUGAAGCUUCCACGUGAAGCUUCAAUAACUAUGGAUGGGAGUUUUGGUGAGGGUGAGUUCAGAGAGAUGACGAGUGAAUGAGGGAGAUGAAGAUUGAAAGGGUGAUCCUAUGAAAUUGGUGAAAUUGUGAUGGUGAUGAACCCCCCUAUGAAUUGUGAUUGAGCUGUUAUUUAUAGAUUUCCCUCUCUCCAAAUUCUGUUAGAAAUCCAAUCAAAAUGUAGCAGAAAUUCAAUGGAAAUUACCUUGAAAUUAGAAAUCAGUUAGCAGUUAGUUUUGGAUGGAAGUUAGGGUUGGUUAAGUUAGUUAACUGCAUCUGUUAAGAAUACUUAGUAAUUAUUGACAUUGUUAAAGCCGUGAUAGGAUACAAUUAUGAACUUGAAUGGGAAUUAGUAAUGCUUAAGUUAAAUUAGAGUUAGAGUGGUUGUUAUUAGUUAUUUAGUUAUGUUUGAUGUUGCAAUUAGAAUGAUGCUUGCUGGUGGUUUUGGAUUGGAGCCAUGUGAAGUGAGUUUGUUAGUUGUUAAUAAAAAGAGAUGCAGACUGUUAGUAUUUUGUUACCCUUGUUGUGUUAUGAAUAUAAAUGUUAGUGACUGUGUUAGAUUGAUGAUUUGAAUUAGCUAUUGAAAUGUUAGUAUGGUUGUGAGGAAUGUUAUGCAAUUAGUUUGAAUUGUUGGAAGUUAUGAGUUUGUUCAUUUAUGUGUUGAUGUUAGAUGCAUGUUGUUAUAAACUUAUGGUUUAUGAGUUGUUGGUUGUUAUGCAUGAAUCGUGUAUAGGGAUUGAUGUUUGAAUUAGCUGCUAUCUGAUGCUUGAAUUAUAGGUUAGUAAGGAGUGUUGAAAUGAGGUGGAGUAUUUGUAUUCAGUGGCUUGAGAAUGGUUGUUAACUGCUAUGUUGUUAGUGUUGGAUUGGACUGUUAGGAUGUUUAUGUAAUAUGAAUGGUAUAAUGCUUGAAUGUGUUAAUAGUGAAUUGGUUUACAAGUGUUGGAUUUGUAUGUAGAUGUUUGUCAAAAUUCAUGUUAGCAUAGAUAAAAUUUGAUUGUGGUGUAUUAUUGUGGAAAUAUGUUGAAACUUGUUGUGUGAAUCAUAUGUAAUGACUAACAUACGUGUGUGUGCAGGGGUGAUGAGAUGGAGUCAUCUUGGCAUGAUAUGUAGAUUUGGCAAGGCAUGAAUCAAGGUGUUUUCAUGAAGAUACCUUAAAGACUUGAAGAUCUAUGAAGGAUGUUGGACCAAAAAAGAGAUGGCUUAGGAAUGGAAAACAAGGAGGAUUAGGGUUCAAAAUAAGUAGUUGACUUUGGUCAACUGUUUGACCAAAAAGUCAAUAGUUGACCAAAAGUUAACCUAGGCCAGAAAUAGGGUUUUCUUGGUGUAACUUGAAAUGGAUGUUUAAAAUGUAAAUUUGACGGUUUGUAAUGAGAAAAAGGCUUUUUAAAGUGAAUUAUAACUUAUGUUCCAAGUAGUGUGUUUUCUUUGCAUAACAUGAGUCCAAAUGCAUACUUGAAUGCAUCUUAGUCUUUGAAAUGAACUUGAAUAAUUUUGAAAUGAAAAAGGCCUUCUUGAAAUAAAUGUAGCUUGUAUCUUAAAAAAGACGAAAUUUC